GCCUGGGUGGCUCAGUUGGUAAAGCGUCUGACUUUGGCUCAGGUCUUGACCUCAGGGUCCUGGGAUCAAGCCCCGCAUCGGGCU
Zalophus californianus (California sea lion) is the source of this 84-nucleotide non-coding RNA. The record is from the annotation of a RefSeq genome assembly. NCBI's taxonomy places the organism in Eukaryota, Metazoa, Chordata, Mammalia, Carnivora, Otariidae.